Molecule: ribosomal RNA, 261 nt
Filed under: uncultured bacterium
Lineage: Bacteria
Description: partial 16S ribosomal RNA
Rfam family: Bacterial small subunit ribosomal RNA
Source: RNAcentral
UACGUAGGGGGCGAGCGUUGUCCGGAAUUAUUGGGCGUAAAGAGCUCGUAGGCGGUUUGUUGCGUCGGCUGUGAAAUCCCGAGGCUCAACCUCGGGUCUGCAGUCGAUACGAGCAAACUAGAGUGUUGCAGGGGGAGACUGGAAUUCCUGGUGUAGCGGUGAAAUGCGCAGAUAUCAGGAGGAACACCGGUGGCGAAGGCGGGGUCUCUGGGCAACAACUGACGCUGGAGGAGCGAAAAGCGUGGGGGGAGCGAAACAGGG